RNAcentral lists this ribosomal RNA (497 nucleotides) under uncultured bacterium. RNAcentral's name for it is "partial 16S ribosomal RNA". It matches the Rfam family "Bacterial small subunit ribosomal RNA", at positions 28 to 507 of the family's 1533-position model. The record is from RNAcentral.
GAUGAACGCUGGCGGCGUGCCUAAUACAUGCAAGUCGAGCGAACAGACGAGGAGCUUGCUCCUCUGACGUUAGCGGCGGACGGGUGAGUAACACGUGGAUAACCUACCUAUAAGACUGGGAUAACUUCGGGAAACCGGAGCUAAUACCGGAUAAUAUAUUGAACCGCAUGGUUCAAUAGUGAAAGACGGUUUUGCUGUCACUUAUAGAUGGAUCCGCGCCGCAUUAGCUAGUUGGUAAGGUAACGGCUUACCAAGGCAACGAUGCGUAGCCGACCCGAGAGGGUGAUCGGCCACACUGGAACUGAGACACGGUCCAGACUCCUACGGGAGGCAGCAGUAGGGAAUCUUCCGCAAUGGGCGAAAGCCUGACGGAGCAACGCCGCGUGAGUGAUGAAGGUCUUCGGAUCGUAAAACUCUGUUAUUAGGGAAGAACAAAUGUGUAAGUAACUAUGCACGUCUUGACGGUACCUAAUCAGGAAGCCACGGCUAACUACGUG